This 484-nucleotide ribosomal RNA is filed under the name uncultured bacterium. RNAcentral describes it as "partial 16S ribosomal RNA". It matches the Rfam family "Bacterial small subunit ribosomal RNA", at positions 30 to 507 of the family's 1533-position model. The record is from RNAcentral.
AUUGAACGCUGGCGGCAGGCCUAACACAUGCAAGUCGAGCGGAUGAAGGGAGCUUGCUCCUGGAUUCAGCGGCGGACGGGUGAGUAAUGCCUAGGAAUCUGCCUGGUAGUGGGGGAUAACGUCCGGAAACGGGCGCUAAUACCGCAUACGUCCUGAGGGAGAAAGUGGGGGAUCUUCGGACCUCACGCCAUCAGAUGAGCCUAGGUCGGAUUAGCUAGUUGGUGGGGUAAAGGCCUACCAAGGCGACGAUCCGUAACUGGUCUGAGAGGAUGAUCAGCCACACUGGAACUGAGACACGGUCCAGACUCCUACGGGAGGCAGCAGUGGGGAAUAUUGGACAAUGGGCGAAAGCCUGAUCCAGCCAUGCCGCGUGUGUGAAGAAGGUCUUCGGAUUGUAAAGCACUUUAAGUUGGGAGGAAGGGCAGUAAGUUAAUACCUUGCUGUUUUGACGUUACCAACAGAAUAAGCACCGGCUAACUUCGUG